GACGAACGCUGGCGGCGUGCCUAAUACAUGCAAGUCGAACGCAGUGGGGACGGGUGAGUAACACGUGGUAACCUACCCAUCAGAGGGGAUAACCCUUUGAAACAAGUGCUAAAACCGAUACUGAUGGAUGGAACCCGGGUGCAUUUACUUGGUGGUGAGGUAACGGCUCACCAAGGCCACGAUGCAGAGCCGACCGGAGAGGGUGAUCGGCCACACGGGGACUGAGAAACGGCCAAGACUCCUACGGGAGGCAGCAGUAGGGAAUCUUCGGCAAUGGACGAAAGUCUGACCGAGCAACGCCGCGUGAGUGAAGAAGGUUUUCGGAUCGUAAAGCUCUGUUGUUAGAGAAGCGGUAUCUAACCAGAAAGCCACGGCUAACUACGUGCCAGCAGCCGCGGUAAUAC
This 404-nucleotide ribosomal RNA is filed under the name uncultured bacterium. Its description in RNAcentral is "partial 16S ribosomal RNA". It matches the Rfam family "Bacterial small subunit ribosomal RNA", at positions 28 to 526 of the family's 1533-position model. The record is from RNAcentral.